AUCUAGCUGACGAGUCUCAAAUUGGACAAAACGCGCGUUCUGGAU
Schistosoma margrebowiei is the source of this 45-nucleotide non-coding RNA. Lineage: Eukaryota; Metazoa; Platyhelminthes; Trematoda; Strigeidida; Schistosomatidae. The record is from Rfam.